This 468-nucleotide ribosomal RNA is filed under the name uncultured bacterium. RNAcentral's name for it is "partial 16S ribosomal RNA". It matches the Rfam family "Bacterial small subunit ribosomal RNA", at positions 28 to 507 of the family's 1533-position model. The record is from RNAcentral.
GACGAACGCUGGCGGCGUGCUUAACACAUGCAAGUCGAACGGAAAGGCCCUGCUUUUGUGGGGUGCUCGAGUGGCGAACGGGUGAGUAACACGUGAGUAACCUGCCCUUGACUUUGGGAUAACUUCAGGAAACUGGGGCUAAUACCGGAUAGGAGCUCCUGCUGCAUGGUGGGGGUUGGAAAGUUUCGGCGGUUGGGGAUGGACUCGCGGCUUAUCAGCUUGUUGGUGGGGUAGUGGCUUUCCAAGGCUUUGACGGGUAGCCGGCCUGAGAGGGUGACCGGCCACAUUGGGACUGAGAUACGGCCCAGACUCUUACGGGAGGCAGCAGUGGGGAAUAUUGCACAAUGGGCGGAAGCCUGAUGCAGCAACGCCGCGUGCGGGAUGACGGCCUUCGGGUUGUAAACCGCUUUCGCCUGUGACGAAGCGUGAGUGACGGUAAUGGGUAAAGAAGCACCGGCUAACUACGUG